Molecule: ribosomal RNA, 862 nt
Filed under: Burkholderia sp. NAR9(9)
Lineage: Bacteria; Pseudomonadati; Pseudomonadota; Betaproteobacteria; Burkholderiales; Burkholderiaceae
Description: bacterial SSU rRNA
Rfam family: Bacterial small subunit ribosomal RNA
Source: RNAcentral
CUUACCAUGCAGUCGAACGGCAGCACGGGAGCAAUCCUGGUGGCGAGUGGCGAACGGGUGAGUAAUACAUCGGAACGUGUCCUGUAGUGGGGGAUAGCCCGGCGAAAGCCGGAUUAAUACCGCAUACGCUCUACGGAGGAAAGGGGGGGAUCUUAGGACCUCCCGCUACAGGGGCGGCCGAUGGCAGAUUAGCUAGUUGGUGGGGUAAAGGCCUACCAAGGCGACGAUCUGUAGCUGGUCUGAGAGGACGACCAGCCACACUGGGACUGAGACACGGCCCAGACUCCUACGGGAGGCAGCAGUGGGGAAUUUUGGACAAUGGGCGCAAGCCUGAUCCAGCAAUGCCGCGUGUGUGAAGAAGGCCUUCGGGUUGUAAAGCACUUUUGUCCGGAAAGAAAACCUCGGGGCUAAUACCUCUGGGGGAUGACGGUACCGGAAGAAUAAGCACCGGCUAACUACGUGCCAGCAGCCGCGGUAAUACGUAGGGUGCAAGCGUUAAUCGGAAUUACUGGGCGUAAAGCGUGCGCAGGCGGUCCGCUAAGACAGAUGUGAAAUCCCCGGGCUUAACCUGGGAACUGCAUUUGUGACUGGCGGGCUAGAGUAUGGCAGAGGGGGGUAGAAUUCCACGUGUAGCAGUGAAAUGCGUAGAGAUGUGGAGGAAUACCGAUGGCGAAGGCAGCCCCCUGGGCCAAUACUGACGCUCAUGCACGAAAGCGUGGGGAGCAAACAGGAUUAGAUACCCUGGUAGUCCACGCCCUAAACGAUGUCAACUAGUUGUCGGGUCUUCAUUGACUUGGUAACGUAGCUAACGCGUGAAGUUGACCGCCUGGGGAGUACGGUCGCAAGAUUAAAACUCAGAAGA